RNAcentral lists this ribosomal RNA (440 nucleotides) under uncultured bacterium. RNAcentral's name for it is "partial 16S ribosomal RNA". It matches the Rfam family "Bacterial small subunit ribosomal RNA", at positions 338 to 795 of the family's 1533-position model. The record is from RNAcentral.
CCUACGGGAGGCUGCAGUGGGGAAUAUUGCACAAUGGGGGAAACCCUGAUGCAGCGACGCCGCGUGAGUGAAGAAGUAUUUCGGUAUGUAAAGCUCUAUCAGCAGGGAAGAAAAUGACGGUACCUGAUUAAGAAGCCCCGGCUAACUACGUGCCAGCAGCCGCGGGAAUACGUAGGGGGCAAGCGUUAUCCGGAUUUACUGGGUGUGAAGGGAGCGUAGACGGCAGCACAAGUCUGGAGUGAAAUGCCGGGGCUUAACCCCGGAACUGCUUUUGAAACUGUGCAGCUAGAGUGCGGGAGAGGUAAGUGGAAUUCCUAGUGUAGCGGUGAAAUGCGUAGAUAUUAGGAGGAACACCAGUGGCGAAGGCGGCUUACUGGACUGUAACUGACGUUGAGGCUCGAAAGCGUGGGGAGCAAACAGGAUUAGAUACCCUUGUAGUC